RNAcentral lists this ribosomal RNA (484 nucleotides) under uncultured bacterium. RNAcentral's name for it is "partial 16S ribosomal RNA". It matches the Rfam family "Bacterial small subunit ribosomal RNA", at positions 30 to 507 of the family's 1533-position model. The record is from RNAcentral.
AUUGAACGCUGGCGGCAGGCCUAAUACAUGCAAGUCGAGCGGAUGAAGGGAGCUUUCUCCUGGCUUCAGCGGCGGACGGGUGAGUAAUGCCUAGGAAUCUGCCUGGUAGUGGGGGAUAACGUACGGAAACGGGCGCUAAUACAGCACACGUCCUGAGGGUGAAAGUGGGGGAUCUUCGGACCUCACGCUAUCAGAUGAGCCUAGGUCGGAUUAGCUAGUUGGUGGGGUAAAGGCCUACCAAGGCGACGAUCCGUAACUGGUCUGAGAGGAUGAUCAGUCACACUGGAACUGAGACACGGUCCAGACUCCUACGGGAGGCAGCAGUGGGGAAUAUUGGACAAUGGGCGAAAGCCUGAUCGAGCAAUGCCGCGUGAGUGAAGAAGGUCUUCGGAUUGUAAAGCACUUUAAGUUGGGAGGAAGGGCAGUAAGAUAAUACCUGGCUGUUUUGACGUUACCAACAGAAUAAGCACCGGCUAACUUCGUG